UCCCUGGUAGUCCAGUAGUUAGGACUUGCACUUUCAUUGCCAAAGGUGCAGGUUCAAUCCCUGGUCGGGGAA
Bos taurus (domestic cattle) is the source of this 72-nucleotide non-coding RNA. The record is from Rfam. NCBI's taxonomy places the organism in Eukaryota, Metazoa, Chordata, Mammalia, Artiodactyla, Bovidae.